GGGGUUGUAGCUCAGUGGUAGAGCACUUGCCUCACAUGUAUGAGGUCCUGGGUUCGAUUCUCAAUACCA
Molecule: transfer RNA, 69 nt
Filed under: Ictidomys tridecemlineatus (thirteen-lined ground squirrel)
Lineage: Eukaryota; Metazoa; Chordata; Mammalia; Rodentia; Sciuridae
Description: Spermophilus tridecemlineatus (thirteen-lined ground squirrel) tRNA
Rfam family: tRNA
About the family: Transfer RNA (tRNA) molecules are approximately 80 nucleotides in length. Their secondary structure includes four short double-helical elements and three loops (D, anti-codon, and T loops).
Source: Rfam by way of RNAcentral